UACGGAGGGUGCAAGCGUUAAUCGGAAUUACUGGGCGUAAAGCGUGCGUAGGCGGUUCGUUAAGUCUGUUGUGAAAGCCCCGGGCUCAACCUGGGAAUGGCAAUGGAUACUGGCGAGCUAGAGUGUGUCAGAGGAUGGUGGAAUUCCCGGUGUAGCGGUGAAAUGCGUAGAGAUCGGGGAAGAACACCCGUGGCGAAGGCGGCACUCUGGGACGGUACUGACGCUGAGGAGCGAAAGCAUGGGGGAGCGAACAGG
Molecule: ribosomal RNA, 255 nt
Filed under: uncultured bacterium
Lineage: Bacteria
Description: partial 16S ribosomal RNA
Rfam family: Bacterial small subunit ribosomal RNA
Source: RNAcentral